GACGAACGCUGGCGGCGUGCCUAAUACAUGCAAGUCGUGCGGACAUUGUUGAAAGCUUGCUUUUAAAAGGUUAGCGGCGGACGGGUGAGUAACACGUGGGCAACCUGCCUGUAAGACUGGGAUAACGCCGGGAAACCGGGGCUAAUCCCAGAACGUUUUUUCAUCCGCAUGGAGGAAAAAGGAAAGGCGGCUUCGGCUGACACUUACAGAUGGGCCCGCGGCGCAUUAGCUUGUUGGCGGGGUAAUGGCCCACCAAGGAAACGAUGCGUAGCCGACCUGAGAGGGUGAUCGGCCACAUUGGGACUGAGACACGGCCCAAACUCCUACGGGGGGCAGCAGUAGGGAAUCUUCCGCAAUGGGCGAAAGGCUGACGGGGCAACGCCGCGUGGGUGAAGAAGGCCUUCGGGUCGUAAAACCCUGUUGCCUGGGAAGAACAAGUGCUGUACGAACAGAGCGGCGCCUUGACGGUACCCGGCCAGAAAGCCACGGCUAACUACGUG
Molecule: ribosomal RNA, 500 nt
Filed under: uncultured bacterium
Lineage: Bacteria
Description: partial 16S ribosomal RNA
Rfam family: Bacterial small subunit ribosomal RNA
Source: RNAcentral